UUUUUGUUGUUGCAUUCAAAGUUUUAAGAAAAUAUCGAUGAAGAAUCCUUUACUGCUGUAACCUCUUUUUCGUUUCUGUUCGAUCUUGAGGCAUAGAAAAAACAGAAAUCUUUUGGUAUGUACUUGCCGAAGUUGAAGUUUGAUUUGUUGACCCAACACAUAGUAGGUGCGCCUCAGUUCACUGCCCUAAAAAAGGUCAACAUCAAUCAAACAUAUUGUACUCAGUCGUUAGUGAAUCUUUCAACUCCGCAUAGAAAUUCCCCAUCUGAGAUCUGCGUUUGAUCUAUAGAAUUUGAGCUGCACUCACCCCAAGUUUUAACAGGCUUGCUGUCGGCUUUCUGGUACUAAUGGUUACUGGAUAUUUUUCUGAUUCCUAUUUAGAUUUGUCGUUUAAUUAAGUAGUUCAAUUGAUCUAUUCAUUUAAACUGAUAUUUUUCUGAUUCCUAUUUAGAUUUGAAAAUUUUGGGUCUAGAUUUAUUGGAUCUGAUCGAAAAUAUAUUUAUUCCGGCGAGUCAUUUGCUCUCUGUUUUCAUAUCUUACUUUUAUUUUACGGAUCCAAAAGUGAGAUAAAAUAGUUAGCUGAAAAUUCCGACCCUGGUGCUUGAACGGAAUCUUGCUGAAAAUUUUUCCGGCGACCUAUGUGCACAUGUUCCCUCUGACCGUGCUCCAUUGUCUAACGUCCUUUUAGUAACAUCUCAGCCUGUAUUGGUUACUUCAUUUUGUAAAACCAAUAUUUUGGGUUGAGGUAUCGAAAUUAAUCGAAUUGGUUUUGGGAUUAGAUUUUUGGAAAUCUACCAGAAUCUUGAUAUCCGAUCUUAUUAAAUUGCUGAAGAAAUUAAUUUUUUUAAAUGCCCAAACGGAUAUAGGACCUGACCUAAAAAAAUAUCAAGAAAUCCCUCACCCCUUGAACAACGGCGGAAAUCCCUUUCUGCUCCAUUCCUUCAUCAACUCCAAACACCAGAUACCACACGCACUCCUUUCUUUCUCGUUUCUUUCUGAUUUCCAUUGACACAUACAUACGAUUCACUCAUACAAGCUCUAGGAUUUUCGAGCUGUGGACUUGUUUGAUAGUUGACCGAAUCUGUUGUGCUUGCUUCGCCGAUUUGUUUAUUUCAAGCAAAUUUAAAACAAUAUACCAGAUCUGGUUUUCGCUCACUUACUCCGCUGGUAACCAUUUAAUUUAUUAUUAUUGAUUUCUUACUCGCUUUCUUUCUCUUUCACUUUCAGAUCUUUAUUUUUAUUUAAUUGUAGUUUAUUUUUAUUUCCUUUGAUUUGAUUGAUCCACAGAUCUAACCUCCUUCACUUUCAGAUCUUCUUGCUUUUUUAACUGUAAAGAAUUGUGGUUGCAAAUUUUGAAACACUAUUCGCUGAGUUCCAGCUUUUCCUUCGCCAUAAUUUGGUUAUUCAAGUUUGUCUCUACUAUUGCUUAGAGGUUUUUUGAAUUCUUGCUUUUCGUCAGCGAUUUUUACGGCGACCCCUGCUAUUUUCUUCCUAUUCUCUCUUCUGCUUUUUGUGGGGGUGUGUGGAUGUGUUCUGUUUCUUGCACAGGUGCCUUAUUUUUCCAGCGAGGAUUUACGGCAAGCUACAUUACUUCCGGCGACUCCCAUUCAGACUUUCGGCAGGACGCAAUAGAACUACACGUUCCGAUAAGCUUCAGGAAAACUUGCCCCAGGUACUAGUCGCGGCGGCGAGG
This 1693-nucleotide long non-coding RNA is filed under the name Nicotiana benthamiana. Its description in RNAcentral is "long non-coding RNA (NBEN_LNC032667)". Lineage: Eukaryota; Viridiplantae; Streptophyta; Magnoliopsida; Solanales; Solanaceae. The record is from RNAcentral.